RNAcentral lists this ribosomal RNA (253 nucleotides) under uncultured bacterium. RNAcentral describes it as "partial 16S ribosomal RNA". It matches the Rfam family "Bacterial small subunit ribosomal RNA", at positions 524 to 776 of the family's 1533-position model. The record is from RNAcentral.
UACGUAGGGUGCGAGCGUUAAUCGGAAUUACUGGGCGUAAAGCGUGCGCAGGCGGUUUUGUAAGCCAGAUGUGAAAUCCCCGGGCUCAACCUGGGAACUGCAUUUGUGACUGCAUCGCUGGAGUGCGGCAGAGGGGGAUGGAAUUCCGCGUGUAGCAGUGAAAUGCGUAGAUAUGCGGAGGAACACCGAUGGCGAAGGCAAUCCCCUGGGCCUGCACUGACGCUCAUGCACGAAAGCGUGGGGAGCAAACAGG